GACGAACGCUGGCGGCGUACUUAACACAUGCAAGUCGAACGGAAAGGCCCUGCUUUUGUGGGGUGCUCGAGUGGCGAACGGGUGAGUAACACGUGAGUAACCUGCCCUUGACUUUGGGAUAACUUCAGGAAACUGGGGCUAAUACCGGAUCGGAGCUCCUGCUGCAUUGUGGGGGUUGGAAAUUUUCGGCGGUUGGGGAUGGACUCGCGGCUUAUCAGCUUGUUGGUGGGGUAGUGGCUUACCCAGGCUUUGACGGGUAGCCGGCCUGAGAGGGUGACCGGCCACAUUGGGACUGAGAUAGGGCCCAGACUCCUACGGGAGGCAGCAGUGGGGAAUAUUGUACAAUGGGCGGAAGCCUGAUGCAGCAACGCCGCGUGCGGGAUGACGGCCUUCGGGUUGUAAACCGCUUUCGCCUGUGACGAAGCGUGAGUGACGGUAAUGGGUAAAGAAGCACCGGCUAACUACGCG
RNAcentral lists this ribosomal RNA (468 nucleotides) under uncultured bacterium. RNAcentral describes it as "partial 16S ribosomal RNA". It matches the Rfam family "Bacterial small subunit ribosomal RNA", at positions 28 to 507 of the family's 1533-position model. The record is from RNAcentral.